Long non-coding RNA from Nomascus leucogenys (northern white-cheeked gibbon), 702 nucleotides. RefSeq lists it as uncharacterized. Lineage: Eukaryota; Metazoa; Chordata; Mammalia; Primates; Hylobatidae. The record is from RefSeq and is a predicted model, not a curated record. The transcript has 3 exons.
ACUGAAAGCAGUCAGCUAACACACAAGGAAGCCUGGGAGGAAGAACAGGAAGUUGCUGAGCUUUUGAAGGAGGAGUUUCCUGCCUGGUAUGAGAAGCUUCUUCUGGAAAUGGUUCACCAUAACAGCCUCCUUAGAGAAGUUAGUAGAUACUGAUUGGUUGGAGAUCAUGACCAAAUAUGCUCUGGGAGAAGAGUGUGACUUCGAGGUUGGGAAGGAGAAAAUGCUCAAGGUGAAGAUUGUGAAGAUUCAUCCUCUGGAGAAAGUGGAUGAAGAGGCCACUGAGAAGAAAUCUGAUGGUGCCUGUGAUUCUCCAUCAAGUGACAAAGACAAUUCCAGGCAGAUUGCUCAGGACCAUCAGAAGAAGGAGACAGUUGUGAAAGAGGAUGAAGGAAGGAGAGAGAGUAUUAGUAUGUUUGAUAUUAGCUUUCCUUAGUGCUUUAUGAGAUCCUGUUUAUUUUAUUAUGAACACAUCUUUUAGGGUUCUCUAGCAACUAAAUGUGUGAUUUUUUUAUGUAGACAUGAUUUUGUUCAUUUAUGAUUCAUAGAACAACUAAAAUGUCCACAACAUGAGUCAAGACUUGAAUAUCCCUAAAUGAUUAAGAUCAUGGGAAGUCGUUUCCUCUAGUUGCUUAGAAAGCUCUGUGCAGGGCCGAGUGCUGUGGCUCAUGCCUGUAAUCCCAGCGCUUUGGGAGACUGAGGAGG